Molecule: ribosomal RNA, 484 nt
Filed under: Shigella sonnei
Lineage: Bacteria; Pseudomonadati; Pseudomonadota; Gammaproteobacteria; Enterobacterales; Enterobacteriaceae
Description: partial 23S ribosomal RNA
Rfam family: Bacterial large subunit ribosomal RNA
Source: RNAcentral
ACUAAGCGUACACGGUGGAUGCCCUGGCAGUCAGAGGCGAUGAAGGACGUGCUAAUCUGCGAUAAGCGUCGGUAAGGUGAUAUGAACCGUUAUAACCGGCGAUUUCCGAAUGGGGAAACCCAGUGUGUUUCGACACACUAUCAUUAACUGAAUCCAUAGGUUAAUGAGGCGAACCGGGGGAACUGAAACAUCUAAGUACCCCGAGGAAAAGAAAUCAACCGAGAUUCCCCCAGUAGCGGCGAGCGAACGGGGAGGAGCCCAGAGCCUGAAUCAGUGUGUGUGUUAGUGGAAGCGUCUGGAAAGGCGCGCGAUACAGGGUGACAGCCCCGUACACAAAAAUACACAUAUUGUGAGCUCGAUGAGUAGGGCGGGACACGUGGUAUCCUGUCUGAAUAUGGGGGGACCAUCCUCCAAGGCUAAAUACUCCUGACUGACCGAUAGUGAACCAGUACCGUGAGGGAAAGGCGAAAAGAACCCCGGCGAG